AGUCGGGGGAAACCCGUCU
RNAcentral lists this small nuclear RNA (19 nucleotides) under Arabidopsis thaliana (thale cress). RNAcentral's name for it is "snRNA_18846". The record is from RNAcentral. Lineage: Eukaryota; Viridiplantae; Streptophyta; Magnoliopsida; Brassicales; Brassicaceae.